RNAcentral lists this ribosomal RNA (301 nucleotides) under uncultured bacterium. Its description in RNAcentral is "partial 16S ribosomal RNA". It matches the Rfam family "Bacterial small subunit ribosomal RNA", at positions 509 to 808 of the family's 1533-position model. The record is from RNAcentral.
CAGUAGCCGCGGUAAUACGAAGGGGGCUAGCGUUGCUCGGAAUUACUGGCGUAAAGGGGGCGUAGGCGGACAUUUAAGUCAGGGGUGAAAUCCCAGAGCUCAACUCUGGAACUGCCUUUGAUACUGGGUGUCUUGAGUGUGAUAGAGGUAUGUGGAACUCCGAGUGUAGAGGUGAAAUUCGUAGAUAUUCGGAAGAACACCAGUGGCGAAGGCGACAUACUGGAUCAUUACUGACGCUGAGGCUCGAGAGCGUGGGGAGCAAACAGGAUUAGAGACCCCAGUAGUCCCUGUCUCUUAUACA